RNAcentral lists this ribosomal RNA (216 nucleotides) under uncultured bacterium. RNAcentral describes it as "partial 16S ribosomal RNA". It matches the Rfam family "Bacterial small subunit ribosomal RNA", at positions 1277 to 1500 of the family's 1533-position model. The record is from RNAcentral.
GAAAGCCUGUCUCAGUUCGGAUUGGAGUCUGCAACCCGACUCCAUGAAGCUGGAUUCGCUAGUAAUCGCGCAUCAGCCACGGCGCGGUGAAUACGUUCCCGGGCCUUGUACACACCGCCCGUCAAGCCAUGGAAGCCGGGGGUGCCUGAAGUGCGCUGCCGCAAGGAGCGCCCUAGGGUAAAACCGGUGACUGGGGCUAAGUCGUAACAAGGUAGC